CUGCGGCAGCGAACGUAUCACCCAAGACAACUUUACGGAGUUGACGAUUGACGGAGCGAAGCGACGUCAAAGCGUUCAUUAAAGUCGAGUUGGCUUAGGGAUACGUUCGUUGGGUAGGGGAGCGUUCUGUAAGCCUGUGAAGGUGUGUCGUGAGGCAUGCUGGAGGUAUCAGAAGUGCGAAUGCUGACAUAAGUAACGAUAAAGCGGGUGAAAAGCCCGCUCGCCGGAAGACCAAGGGUUCCUGUCCAACGUUAAUCGGGGCAGGGUGAGUCGACCCCUAAGGCGAGGCCGAAAGGCGUAGUCGAUGGGAAACGGGUUAAUAUUCCCGUACUUGGUGUUACUGCGAAGGGGGGACGGAGAAGGCUAUGUUGGCCGGGCGACGGUUGUCCCGGUUUAAGCGUGUAGGUGUGUGUUCCAGGUAAAUCCGGUUCACUUUAACACUGAGGCGUGACGACGAGGCACUACGGUGCUGAAGCAACAAAUGCCCUGCUUCCAGGAAAAGCCUCUAAGCAUCAGGUAACAUCAAAUCGUACCCCAAACCGACACAGGUGGUCAGGUAGAGAAUACCAAGGCGCUUGAGAGAACUCGGGUGAAGGAACUAGGCAAAAUGGUGCCGUAACUUCGGGAGAAGGCACGCUGACACGUAGGUGAAGUGAUUUACUCAUGGAGCUGAAGUCAGUCGAAGAUACCAGCUGGCUGCAACUGUUUAUUAAAAACACAGCACUGUGCAAACACGAAAGUGGACGUAUACGGUGUGACGCCUGCCCGGUGCCGGAAGGUUAAUUGAUGGGGUCAGCGCAAGCGAAGCUCCUGAUCGAAGCCCCGGUAAACGGCGGCCGUAACUAUAACGGUCCUAAGGUAGCGAAAUUCCUUGUCGGGUAAGUUCCGACCUGCACGAAUGGCGUAAUGAUGGCCAGGCUGUCUCCACCCGAGACUCAGUGAAAUUGAACUCGCUGUGAAGAUGCAGUGUACCCGCGGCAAGACGGAAAGACCCCGUGAACCUUUACUAUAGCUUGACACUGAACAUUGAGCCUUGAUGUGUAGGAUAGGUGGGAGGCUUUGAAGUGUGGACGCCAGUCUGCAUGGAGCCGACCUUGAAAUACCACCCUUUAAUGUUUGAUGUUCUAACGUGGACCCGUAAUCCGGGUUGCGGACAGUGUCUGGUGGGUAGUUUGACUGGGGCGGUCUCCUCCUAAAGAGUAACGGAGGAGCACGAAGGUUGGCUAAUCCUGGUCGGACAUCAGGAGGUUAGUGCAAUGGCAUAAGCCAGCUUGACUGCGAGCGUGACGGCGCGAGCAGGUGCGAAAGCAGGUCAUAGUGAUCCGGUGGUUCUGAAUGGAAGGGCCAUCGCUCAACGGAUAAAAGGUACUCCGGGGAUAACAGGCUGAUACCGCCCAAGAGUUCAUAUCGACGGCGGUGUUUGGCACCUCGAUGUCGGCUCAUCACAUCCUGGGGCUGAAGUAGGUCCCAAGGGUAUGGCUGUUCGCCAUUUAAAGUGGUACGCGAGCUGGGUUUAGAACGUCGUGAGACAGUUCGGUCCCUAUCUGCCGUGGGCGCUGGAGAACUGAGGGGGGCUGCUCCUAGUACGAGAGGACCGGAGUGGACGCAUCACUGGUGUUCGGGUUGUCAUGCCAAUGGCACUGCCCGGUAGCUAAAUGCGGAAGAGAUAAGUGCUGAAAGCAUCUAAGCACGAAACUUGCCCCGAGAUGAGUUCUCCCUGAGACUUAGAGUCUC
This 1734-nucleotide ribosomal RNA is filed under the name Salmonella enterica. RNAcentral describes it as "partial 23S ribosomal RNA". It matches the Rfam family "Bacterial large subunit ribosomal RNA", at positions 1200 to 2827 of the family's 2925-position model. Lineage: Bacteria; Pseudomonadati; Pseudomonadota; Gammaproteobacteria; Enterobacterales; Enterobacteriaceae. The record is from RNAcentral.